RNAcentral lists this transfer RNA (86 nucleotides) under Thalassospira lucentensis. RNAcentral's name for it is "tRNA-Leu". It matches the Rfam family "tRNA". Rfam says of the family: Transfer RNA (tRNA) molecules are approximately 80 nucleotides in length. Their secondary structure includes four short double-helical elements and three loops (D, anti-codon, and T loops). RNAcentral also lists the same sequence under 19 other names. The record is from RNAcentral. Lineage: Bacteria; Pseudomonadati; Pseudomonadota; Alphaproteobacteria; Rhodospirillales; Thalassospiraceae.
GCCCCUGUGGCGGAAUUGGUAGACGCGGCAGACUCAAAAUCUGUUUCACUUAGUGAGUGGGAGUUCGAUUCUCCCCGGGGGCACCA